CGGAGGGUGCAAGCGUUAAUCGGAAUUACUGGGCGUAAAGGGUUCGUAGGUGGUUUAUUAAGUUAUUUGUAAAAUCCCUGGGCUUAACCUGGGCAGGUCAGAUAAUACUGGUAGACUCGAGUAUGGGAGAGGGUAGUGGAAUUUCCGGCGUAGCGGUGAAAUGCGUAGAGAUCGGAAGGAACACCAGUGGCGAAGGCGGCUACCUGGCCUAAUACUGACACUGAGGAACGAAAGCGUGGGGAGCAAACAGGAUUAGAUACCCUGGUAGUCCACGCCGUAAACGAUGUCAACUAGCUGUUGGUCAUAUUGAUAUGAUUAGUGGCGCAGCAAACGCGAUAAGUUGACCGCCUGGGGAGUACGGUCGCAAGAUUA
This 372-nucleotide ribosomal RNA is filed under the name uncultured organism. Its description in RNAcentral is "bacterial SSU rRNA". It matches the Rfam family "Bacterial small subunit ribosomal RNA", at positions 526 to 896 of the family's 1533-position model. The record is from RNAcentral.